RNAcentral lists this small RNA (59 nucleotides) under unclassified sequences. Its description in RNAcentral is "NAD+-I sequence". It matches the Rfam family "nadA riboswitch". The record is from Rfam by way of RNAcentral.
GCUGCAACAUCCCCGUUGGCUGGGCGAGCGCGUACCGUCGCAGCGAGCCGACUGCAUGC